Molecule: ribosomal RNA, 630 nt
Filed under: uncultured Russulaceae
Lineage: Eukaryota; Fungi; Basidiomycota; Agaricomycetes; Russulales; Russulaceae
Description: LSU rRNA
Rfam family: Eukaryotic large subunit ribosomal RNA
Source: RNAcentral
UAAGCGGAGGAAAAGAAACUAACAAGGAUUCCCCUAGUAACUGCGAGUGAAGCGGGAAAAGCUCAAAUUUAAAAUCUGGCGGCCUCUGGCCGCCCGAGUUGUAAUUUAGAGAAGCGUCUUCCGCGCCGGACCGUGCACAAGUCUCCUGGAAUGGAGCGUCAUAGAGGGUGAGAAUCCCGUCUUUGGCAUGGAUGCCCGGUGCUUCUGUGAUGCGCUCUCGAAGAGUCGAGUUGUUUGGGAAUGCAGCUCAAAAUGGGUGGUGAACUCCAUCUAAAGCUAAAUAUUGGCGAGAGACCGAUAGCGAACAAGUACUGUGAGGGAAAGAUGAAAAGCACUUUGGAAAGAGAGUGAAACAGUACGUGAAAUUGUUGAAAGGGAAACGCUUGAAGUCAGUCGCGUCGACCGAGACUCAGCCUUGCCUGGGCUUGGUGUACUUCUCGGCCUGACGGGUCAGCGUCAAUUUUGCCCCUCGGAUAAUGGCAAGGGAAAGGUGGCACCUUUACGGGUGUGUUAUAGUCUCCUGUCGCAUGCGAGGGGUGGGAUUGAGGAACUCAGCGCGCACCAAGGCGGUGUCGGGGCUUCUGCCCACGUAACGCGCUUAGGAUGCUGGCGUAAUGGCUUUAAACGACC